This 865-nucleotide ribosomal RNA is filed under the name uncultured bacterium. RNAcentral's name for it is "bacterial SSU rRNA". It matches the Rfam family "Bacterial small subunit ribosomal RNA", at positions 628 to 1502 of the family's 1533-position model. The record is from RNAcentral.
UGAAACUGUAUGACUGGCGUGAGNNNNAGGUAGGCGGAAUGCGUUGUGUAGCGGUGAAAUGCAUAGAUAUGACGCAGAACUCCGAUUGCGAAGGCAGCUUACCAACACUUUACGGACGCUGAGGCACGAAAGCGUGGGUAUCGAACAGGAUUAGAUACCCUGGUAGUCCACGCAGUAAACGAUGAAUACUAAUUGUUCGGGGGGCAACCCCUGAGUGAUACAGCGAAAGCGUUAAGUAUUCCACCUGGGGAGUACGCCGGCAACGGUGAAACUCAAAGGAAUUGACGGGGGCCCGCACAAGCGGAGGAACAUGUGGUUUAAUUCGAUGAUACGCGAGGAACCUUACCCGGGCUCAAACGUUGGGGGAAUGCUCCUGAAAGGGAGCAGCCAGCAAUGGUCGCCAACGAGGUGCUGCAUGGUUGUCGUCAGCUCGUGCCGUGAGGUGUCGGCUUAAGUGCCAUAACGAGCGCAACCCCUGCGUCCAGUUACCAUCAAGUCAUGUUGGGGACUCUGGACGGACUGCCGGCGCAAGCCGUGAGGAAGGCGGGGAUGACGUCAAAUCAGCACGGCCCUUACGUCCGGGGCGACACACGUGUUACAAUGGCGUGGAACAGCGGGAAGCCACCUGGCGACAGGGAGCGGACCCCUAAAACACGUCUCAGUUCGGAUUGGAGUCUGCAACUCGACUCCAUGAAGCUGGAUUCGCUAGUAAUCGCGCAUCAGCCAUGGCGCGGUGAAUACGUUCCCGGGCCUUGUACACACCGCCCGUCAAGCCAUGGGAGCCGGGAGUGCCUGAAGUACGUAACCGGAAGGAGCGUCCAAGGGUAACACUGGUGACUGGGGCUAAGUCGUAACAAGGUAACCA